Molecule: unclassified non-coding RNA, 349 nt
Filed under: soil metagenome
Description: partial contains 5.8S ribosomal RNA, internal transcribed spacer 2, and large subunit ribosomal RNA
Rfam family: 5.8S ribosomal RNA (bases 1-120)
Source: RNAcentral
GAUGAAGAACGUAGUGAAAUGCGAUACGUAAUGUGAAUUGCAGAAUUCAGUGAAUCAUCGAGUCUUUGAACGCACAUUGCGCCCCCUGGUAUUCCGGGGGGCAUGCCUGUCCGAGCGUCAUUGCUGCCCUCAAGCACGGCUUGUGUGUUGGGCCUCCGCCCCCCGGCUCCCGGGGGGCGGGCCCGAAAGGCAGCGGCGGCACCGCGUCCGGUCCUCGAGCGUAUGGGGCUUCGUCACCCGCUCCGUAGGCCCGGCCGGCGCCCACCGGCGACCCCCCUCAAUCUUUCCAGGUUGACCUCGGAUCAGGUAGGGAUACCCGCUGAACUUAAGCAUAUCAAUAAGCGGAGGA